This 301-nucleotide ribosomal RNA is filed under the name uncultured bacterium. RNAcentral describes it as "partial 16S ribosomal RNA". It matches the Rfam family "Bacterial small subunit ribosomal RNA", at positions 509 to 809 of the family's 1533-position model. The record is from RNAcentral.
CAGUAGCCGCGGUAAUACGUAGGGUGCAAGCGUUAAUCGGAAUUACUGGGCGUAAAGCGUGCGCAGGCGGUUAUGUAAGACAGUUGUGAAAUCCCCGGGCUCAACCUGGGAACUGCAUCUGUGACUGCAUAGCUAGAGUACGGUAGAGGGGGAUGGAAUUCCGCGUGUAGCAGUGAAAUGCGUAGAUAUGCGGAGGAACACCGAUGGCGAAGGCAAUCCCCUGGACCUGUACUGACGCUCAUGCACGAAAGCGUGGGGAGCAAACAGGAUUAGAUACCCCCGUAGUCCCUGUCUCUUAUAA